RNAcentral lists this ribosomal RNA (466 nucleotides) under uncultured bacterium. RNAcentral describes it as "bacterial SSU rRNA". It matches the Rfam family "Bacterial small subunit ribosomal RNA", at positions 330 to 793 of the family's 1533-position model. The record is from RNAcentral.
UCCAGACUCCUACGGGAGGCAGCAGUGAGGAAUAUUGGUCAAUGGGCGCGAGCCUGAACCAGCCAAGUCGCGUGAGGGAUGACGGCCCUACGGGUUGUAAACCUCUUUUGUCGGGGAGCAAAUUCCGUUACGUGUAACGGAGUCGAGAGUACCCGAAGAAAAAGCAUCGGCUAACUCCGUGCCAGCAGCCGCGGUAAUACGGAGGAUGCGAGCGUUAUCCGGAUUUAUUGGGUUUAAAGGGUGCGUAGGCGGACUGUCAAGUCAGCGGUAAAAUUGCGGGGCUCAACCCCGUACUGCCGUUGAAACUGCAUCCCUUGAGUGCGCGAGAAGUAUGCGGAAUGCGUGGUGUAGCGGUGAAAUGCAUAGAUAUCACGCAGAACUCCGAUUGCGAAGGCAGCAUACCGGCGCGCAACUGACGCUCAUGCACGAAAGCGUGGGUAUCGAACAGGAUUAGAUACCCUGGUAC